ACCUGGGUGGCUCAGUCAGUUAGAGCGUUUGCUUUCGGUGCAGGUCAUGAUUCCAGGGUUCUGGGAUCGAGCCCCACCUCAGGCU
RNAcentral lists this transfer RNA (85 nucleotides) under Canis lupus familiaris (dog). It matches the Rfam family "tRNA". Rfam says of the family: Transfer RNA (tRNA) molecules are approximately 80 nucleotides in length. Lineage: Eukaryota; Metazoa; Chordata; Mammalia; Carnivora; Canidae. RNAcentral also lists the same sequence under 1 other name. The record is from Rfam by way of RNAcentral.